ACUCCUACGGGAGGCAGCAGUGGGGAAUUUUGGACAAUGGGCGAAAGCCUGAUCCAGCAAUGCCGCGUGUGUGAAGAAGGCCUUCGGGUUGUAAAGCACUUUUGUCCGGAAAGAAAUCCUUGGCUCUAAUACAGUCGGGGGAUGACGGUACCGGAAGAAUAAGCACCGGCUAACUACGUGCCAGCAGCCGCGGUAAUACGUAGGGUGCGAGCGUUAAUCGGAAUUACUGGGCGUAAAGCGUGCGCAGGCGGUUUGCUAAGACCGAUGUGAAAUCCCCGGGCUCAACCUGGGAACUGCAUUGGUGACUGGCAGGCUAGAGUAUGGCAGAGGGGGGUAGAAUUCCACGUGUAGCAGUGAAAUGCGUAGAGAUGUGGAGGAAUACCGAUGGCGAAGGCAGCCCCCUGGGCCAAUACUGACGCUCAUGCACGAAAGCGUGGGGAGCAAACAGGAUUAGAAACCCCGGUAGUCCCAUGAU
Molecule: ribosomal RNA, 475 nt
Filed under: uncultured organism
Description: partial 16S ribosomal RNA
Rfam family: Bacterial small subunit ribosomal RNA
Source: RNAcentral